This 23-nucleotide small nuclear RNA is filed under the name Arabidopsis thaliana (thale cress). Its description in RNAcentral is "snRNA_13743". The record is from RNAcentral. Lineage: Eukaryota; Viridiplantae; Streptophyta; Magnoliopsida; Brassicales; Brassicaceae.
AGCGUCCUCAGCGACGGACCGGG